GACGAAGGGGGCUAGCGUUGUUCGGAUUUACUGGGCGUAAAGCGCACGUAGGCGGGUUGUUAAGUCAGGGGUGAAAUCCUGGAGCUCAACUCCAGAACUGCCUUUGAUACUGGCAACCUAGAGGCUGGAAGAGGUUAGUGGAAUUCCCAGUGUAGAGGUGAAAUUCGUAGAUAUUGGGAAGAACACCAGUGGCGAAGGCGGCUAACUGGUCCAGAUCUGACGCUGAGGUGCGAAAGCGUGGGGAGCAAACAGG
This 253-nucleotide ribosomal RNA is filed under the name uncultured bacterium. RNAcentral's name for it is "partial 16S ribosomal RNA". It matches the Rfam family "Bacterial small subunit ribosomal RNA", at positions 524 to 776 of the family's 1533-position model. The record is from RNAcentral.